Molecule: long non-coding RNA, 1576 nt
Filed under: Nicotiana tabacum (common tobacco)
Lineage: Eukaryota; Viridiplantae; Streptophyta; Magnoliopsida; Solanales; Solanaceae
Description: long non-coding RNA (NTAB_LNC013984)
Source: RNAcentral
CAGGGCAUUUUUUUCCUUAUUUAAUUUGCCCACUUUUCUAAAAUACUUUUUCAUUUUCUUUAGGCCACCAUAAUGGCUAUUCCAAAAGAAUUAUUGGUUUUACUUUUGGGUAUAGCCAUUUUGUCAAAAGUUGCUGAAUGUGCAGCUUUUGGUUCACGUCGUGGCCUUGUCGAGACAGUUUUUGAUGUUACCAGGUUUGGAGCUAGACCAAAUACCCCUGCAGAUAGCACUAGGGUAAGUUUGGAAUCAAAUAACAAUAAUAAGUACAUAUGAUUUAAAAUUUCUCAAAUUAUCCUCAAUGACCCUUCUCACAAUGAGAAUGUCUAUAACUUUAUUUUCACCUUGUCCUAUAUGGAAUAAACUUGAUAAUGAAUAUAUGAACUGGUUGUUUGUUAUUCAAAAAUUCGUGUUUAGGCCGUUCAUACUAUUCAAACAUAGUAUUGCAAUAUAAGAUUUUAAUUUUUUCGUGUUUCAUUAGUUAUAUAUUUUUCCAUGGAGUUUUAAUACAUAUUUAGGUAUAUAAAAUUCUGAAGGAGAGCAAUCUACAUCCCCACCCGUUUAUGCGAAAGUGGGGUCCUGGUAGCGAAAUUAGGAUUUUGAAUGAGGGAAUUCAAAAAAUACUCAAGAAUGCUAUACCGAAAUUUGAACCUGCAAAGUAGAAUAACUUUUGAGUCACCUUUGUCAUUACAUUAGAAGCUUUUCUUAUGUCAAUAAUAUCUGACAAUUUAACUAUACUCAAAAAAAUUAUUUUUACCCUAUUUGUACAUCAUAUUUUUCUGAAGAAUUAGAUGAUUAAGUUAAACCACCAUAGAGCCAUAUAACUCCGCUCCUGAAUCCCCCUGUAAUUAACUCUGAUGAUCAAAUUCCAUUUUUAUAAAUCCCUAGGACUUAUAUGCUAAGCUGAAACUUUUUAUUAUAUAACUGCUUAUUUGGUUUGAUGAUUUUAGAGACAAAUAGAUGAUAAAUAAGGCUAGAACUAUUGCAUCUUGAGGCAGUAUCGGAGCCACCUUAGUAAACGGGUUGUUAAUUGACACAUUUUCGUCGAAAAAUUACAUUGUGUAGCUAUAUCGAUCAAAAGUAUUUCUAUGCAGGAAUAUACGGUACGAGUUCGGCAGAACCCAGUAGUUGUAUUAAGGAAUUCACUAAAUAUAUAUAUGUAUAGUUACAUGCGGAUCUAGUAGUAUAAAUGAAUUGUGGGUUCGAUGGAAAUGUUAAAAUUCAUAAACUUCAAAACCUAGAUCGCCUCUGUUUCUAUAUAUAUAUAUUAUACAUUCAAUUUUCUUAAUUUAUUUGUGUGUUUAUUUUUUUAUAUUUUGACAUCAGUUAAUGAAACUUCUGGCUCCGCCACUGCAUGCAGGGACUUAUGAUGGCAUGGAGAUCAGCUUGCCAAUCACCAGGACCAGCCAAAGUUGUUAUUCCUCCAGGAACAUACACUACAGGAGAAACUAUAUUUCAAGGGCCAUGCACAAGUCCUAGGCCAAUUACUAUUGAAAUUCAAGGAACUUUGUUGUCAAAUACUGACAUGAGUUUGUACACAAGAGCAGCUUGGAUUUCUAUCGAACAUGUAGAUGGCAUC